UAUAACUUACUUUGGUGAGACAGCGGACA
RNAcentral lists this non-coding RNA (29 nucleotides) under Rattus norvegicus (Norway rat). Lineage: Eukaryota; Metazoa; Chordata; Mammalia; Rodentia; Muridae. The record is from RNAcentral.